Molecule: ribosomal RNA, 440 nt
Filed under: uncultured bacterium
Lineage: Bacteria
Description: bacterial SSU rRNA
Rfam family: Bacterial small subunit ribosomal RNA
Source: RNAcentral
UGGGGAAUAUUGGACAAUGGGCGAAAGCCUGAUCCAGCCAUGCCGCGUGGGUGAAGAAGGCCUUCGGGUUGUAAAGCCCUUUUGUUGGGGAAGAAAUCCUGCUGGCUAAUACCCGGCGGGGAUGACGGUACCCAAAGAAUAAGCACCGGCUAACUUCGUGCCAGCAGCCGCGGUAAUACGAAGGGUGCAAGCGUUGUCCGGAAUUAUUGGGCGUAAAGAGCUCGUAGGCGGCCGGUCGCGUCUGCCGUGAAAGCCCACGGCUCAACCGUGGGACUGCGGUGGAUACGGGCCGGCUAGAGGCAGGCAGGGGCAAGUGGAAUUCCUGGUGUAGCGGUGAAAUGCGCAGAUAUCAGGAGGAACACCGGUGGCGAAGGCGGCUUGCUGGGCCUGUCCUGACGCUGAGGAGCGAAAGCGUGGGGAGCGAACAGGAUUAGAUACCC